AGCCCCGUAGUGUAGUGGCCAAGCACAGCAGGCUUUGGACCUGUUAGCGGCGGUUCGAAUCCGCCCGGGGCUA
RNAcentral lists this transfer RNA (73 nucleotides) under Candidatus Burarchaeum sp. RNAcentral describes it as "tRNA-Gln". It matches the Rfam family "tRNA". Rfam says of the family: Transfer RNA (tRNA) molecules are approximately 80 nucleotides in length. Their secondary structure includes four short double-helical elements and three loops (D, anti-codon, and T loops). Lineage: Archaea; Nanobdellati; Microcaldota; Candidatus Micrarchaeia; Candidatus Burarchaeales; Candidatus Burarchaeaceae. The record is from RNAcentral.